GUAGGGUCCGAGCGUUGUCCGGAAUUACUGGGCGUAAAGCGCGCGCAGGCGGCUUCCCAAGCGCCACGUGAAAGCCCCGGGCUCAACCCGGGAGGGUCGCGGCGAACUGGGAGGCUUGAGGCCGGUAGAGGUGGGUGGAACUCCUGGUGGAGUGGUGAAAUGCGUAGAGAUCAGGAAGAACACCCGUGGCGAAGGCGGCCCACUGGGCCGGUGCUGACGCUGAGGCGCGAAGGCGUGGGGAGCGAACGGGAUUAGAUACCCCGGUAGUCCACGCAGUAAACGAUGUCGACUCGGUGUGGGCGGUCUUGACCCCGUCCGCGCCACAGCUAACGCGACAAGUCGACCGCCUGGGGAGUACGGCCGCAAGGCUA
Molecule: ribosomal RNA, 371 nt
Filed under: uncultured bacterium
Lineage: Bacteria
Description: bacterial SSU rRNA
Rfam family: Bacterial small subunit ribosomal RNA
Source: RNAcentral